UAUUUUGGUUGAAGGAUGUGAUUUUUUAAAAUACUUUCACAGAGAUAUGGUUUUUGCAGUUAUUAAUGGACUUAAUGGAACCAAAACAAUUCUGGCUUUUUCCUUACUGUAUCUCCUGAUUCGAUACAAUUAGUUGCUGAACAUGCAGCCAAGAAUAACAAGUUCUUCAUGAUGAACCUUUCUGCUCCCUUUAUUUGUGAGUUCUUCAAGGAUGAACAGGAGAAAUUUUUGCCAUUGAUAAUGUCGAGGAAAUAGCUUUAAAGAUUUCCUAGUGGCCAAAGGCAUCAGGAACACACAAAAGAAUUACCGUUAUCACACAAGGUGCAGAUCCUAUUUGUCUUGCUAAGGAUGGGAAAGUUAAGUUGUAUCCUGUGAUACUAUUACCUAAAGAAAAAUUAGUUGACACAAAUGGAGCAGAUAUAAUACAACCUAUUGCUUUUAGUAUUUAAAUAUUAA
Non-coding RNA from Cajanus cajan (pigeon pea), 456 nucleotides. The record is from RefSeq and is a predicted model, not a curated record. Lineage: Eukaryota; Viridiplantae; Streptophyta; Magnoliopsida; Fabales; Fabaceae.